AGGAUUAUAGUUUAAAAAAAACAUUUGAUUUGCAUUCAAAUAAUAUUGAUUUAUAAUCAAUUUAUCUUA
RNAcentral lists this transfer RNA (69 nucleotides) under Parapoynx crisonalis. RNAcentral's name for it is "tRNA-Ala". It matches the Rfam family "tRNA". Rfam says of the family: Transfer RNA (tRNA) molecules are approximately 80 nucleotides in length. The record is from RNAcentral. Lineage: Eukaryota; Metazoa; Arthropoda; Insecta; Lepidoptera; Crambidae.